This 2771-nucleotide ribosomal RNA is filed under the name Klebsiella pneumoniae subsp. pneumoniae MGH 78578. RNAcentral's name for it is "bacterial LSU rRNA". It matches the Rfam family "Bacterial large subunit ribosomal RNA". Lineage: Bacteria; Pseudomonadati; Pseudomonadota; Gammaproteobacteria; Enterobacterales; Enterobacteriaceae. The record is from RNAcentral.
AGCGUACACGGUGGAUGCCCUGGCAGUCAGAGGCGAUGAAGGACGUGCUAAUCUGCGAAAAGCGUCGGUAAGGUGAUAUGAACCGUUAUAACCGGCGAUGUCCGAAUGGGGAAACCCAGUGUGAUUCGUCACACUAUCGUUAACUGAAUACAUAGGUUAACGAGGCGAACCGGGGGAACUGAAACAUCUAAGUACCCCGAGGAAAAGAAAUCAACCGAGAUUCCCCCAGUAGCGGCGAGCGAACGGGGAGCAGCCCAGAGUCUGAAUCAGCUUGUGUGUUAGUGGAACGGUCUGGAAAGUCCGACGGUACAGGGUGAUAGUCCCGUACACCAAAAUGCACAGGUUGUGAACUCGAAGAGUAGGGCGGGACACGUGGUAUCCUGUCUGAAUAUGGGGGGACCAUCCUCCAAGGCUAAAUACUCCUGACUGACCGAUAGUGAACCAGUACCGUGAGGGAAAGGCGAAAAGAACCCCGGCGAGGGGAGUGAAAAAGAACCUGAAACCGUGUACGUACAAGCAGUGGGAGCACCUUCGGGUGUGACUGCGUACCUUUUGUAUAAUGGGUCAGCGACUUAUAUUCUGUAGCAAGGUUAACCGUAUAGGGGAGCCGCAGGGAAACCGAGUCUUAACUGGGCGUUAAGUUGCAGGGUAUAGACCCGAAACCCGGUGAUCUAGCCAUGGGCAGGUUGAAGGUUGGGUAACACUAACUGGAGGACCGAACCGACUAAUGUUGAAAAAUUAGCGGAUGACUUGUGGCUGGGGGUGAAAGGCCAAUCAAACCGGGAGAUAGCUGGUUCUCCCCGAAAGCUAUUUAGGUAGCGCCUCGUGAAUUCAUCUUCGGGGGUAGAGCACUGUUUCGGCUAGGGGGUCAUCCCGACUUACCAACCCGAUGCAAACUACGAAUACCGAAGAAUGUUAUCACGGGAGACACACGGCGGGUGCUAACGUCCGUCGUGAAGAGGGAAACAACCCAGACCGCCAGCUAAGGUCCCAAAGUCAUGGUUAAGUGGGAAACGAUGUGGGAAGGCACAGACAGCCAGGAUGUUGGCUUAGAAGCAGCCAUCAUUUAAAGAAAGCGUAAUAGCUCACUGGUCGAGUCGGCCUGCGCGGAAGAUGUAACGGGGCUAAACCAUGCACCGAAGCUGCGGCAGCGACACUAUGUGUUGUUGGGUAGGGGAGCGUUCUGUAAGCCUGCGAAGGUGACCUGUGAGGGUUGCUGGAGGUAUCAGAAGUGCGAAUGCUGACAUAAGUAACGAUAAAGCGGGUGAAAAGCCCGCUCGCCGGAAGACCAAGGGUUCCUGUCCAACGUUAAUCGGGGCAGGGUGAGUCGACCCCUAAGGCGAGGCCGAAAGGCGUAGUCGAUGGGAAACAGGUUAAUAUUCCUGUACUUGGUGUUACUGCGAAGGGGGGACGGAGAAGGCUAUGUUAGCCGGGCGACGGUUGUCCCGGUUUAAGCAUGUAGGCUGAUUGUCCAGGCAAAUCCGGAUAAUCAAGGCUGAGGUGUGAUGACGAGGCACUACGGUGCUGAAGUAACAAAUGCCCUGCUUCCAGGAAAAGCCUCUAAGCAUCAGGUAACAUUAAAUCGUACCCCAAACCGACACAGGUGGUCAGGUAGAGAAUACCAAGGCGCUUGAGAGAACUCGGGUGAAGGAACUAGGCAAAAUGGUGCCGUAACUUCGGGAGAAGGCACGCUGGUGUGUAGGUGAAGCCCCUGCGGGUGGAGCUGAGACCAGUCGAAGAUACCAGCUGGCUGCAACUGUUUAUUAAAAACACAGCACUGUGCAAACACGAAAGUGGACGUAUACGGUGUGACGCCUGCCCGGUGCCGGAAGGUUAAUUGAUGGGGUUAUCCGUAAGGAGAAGCUCUUGAUCGAAGCCCCGGUAAACGGCGGCCGUAACUAUAACGGUCCUAAGGUAGCGAAAUUCCUUGUCGGGUAAGUUCCGACCUGCACGAAUGGCGUAAUGAUGGCCAGGCUGUCUCCACCCGAGACUCAGUGAAAUUGAACUCGCUGUGAAGAUGCAGUGUACCCGCGGCAAGACGGAAAGACCCCGUGAACCUUUACUAUAGCUUGACACUGAACAUUGAGCCUUGAUGUGUAGGAUAGGUGGGAGGCUUUGAAGCGUGGACGCCAGUCUGCGUGGAGCCAACCUUGAAAUACCACCCUUUAAUGUUUGAUGUUCUAACGUUGGCCCCUUACCGGGGUUGCGGACAGUGUCUGGUGGGUAGUUUGACUGGGGCGGUCUCCUCCCAAAGCGUAACGGAGGAGCACGAAGGUUAGCUAAUCCUGGUCGGACAUCAGGAGGUUAGUGCAAUGGCAUAAGCUAGCUUGACUGCGAGCGUGACGGCGCGAGCAGGUGCGAAAGCAGGUCAUAGUGAUCCGGUGGUUCUGAAUGGAAGGGCCAUCGCUCAACGGAUAAAAGGUACUCCGGGGAUAACAGGCUGAUACCGCCCAAGAGUUCAUAUCGACGGCGGUGUUUGGCACCUCGAUGUCGGCUCAUCACAUCCUGGGGCUGAAGUAGGUCCCAAGGGUAUGGCUGUUCGCCAUUUAAAGUGGUACGCGAGCUGGGUUUAGAACGUCGUGAGACAGUUCGGUCCCUAUCUGCCGUGGGCGCUGGAGAAUUGAGGGGGGCUGCUCCUAGUACGAGAGGACCGGAGUGGACGCAUCACUGGUGUUCGGGUUGUCAUGCCAAUGGCACUGCCCGGUAGCUAAAUGCGGAAGAGAUAAGUGCUGAAAGCAUCUAAGCACGAAACUUGCCCCGAGAUGAGUUCU